UGUCGACUGCUUACCUGUUCCACCGGCCGCCUAGCUUAGCAUGGAUACGGCUCGUUGCCGGACGGACCCCAAGCUAGUUUGCAGGUGAAGUAGGGAAUAUAUGCAUGCUUGCAUUGUCUUGUCGAUCUUGAGAGAUGAUAUGCAUGGGAGAGCGCCGGCUGGUGGGAUAUGGAGGGCCAUCUUCUCCUGAAUCUUCCUUGAGCCAGAGCCAGCCAGCCAGCGAUCUAUUCAGCAUGCCGUGUCAGUAGACUGUCACUGCACUCCAGCUCCGGGCUCUGUGAGAUCGAGGUAGAGAGAGAGCUGAGCUGCAAUGCAAGCAAAGCAAAAGCAAAAGAUGUGCGGUGACUGCUAGCUGGAGUAAGAUCGACUGACCGAAGCAGCUAGCUAGCAAUGAUCGGGCGAGACGACAGACGUACGUGCCGGGCAACGACAAGAACUACUGACCGGGUCUAGCAUCUUACAAUAUGUGGAUUGCCAUUUGGUCCCGCAAGGAAGCAUGUUCGUUGGUCAUUCAAGGCAACACUCAUUCUUUAUGCAAUGGAAAUCCGUGCGCAGGUUUGGACUCCAGGAAAUCCUUGGGCUGCAGAAAUGGCAGGGAUGCUUGUGUUGUUGAAGCAUCAGUUCCAGUUAAUGAUAUCUCUGUUCCGGCCUGCUCAUAGUGAAGAACAGCAAAGAAGCUACUGACUGCUAGUUAAAUCCAACUCGUCUGGACAGCUUGAUUGGAAAUGCCCACAAGGACAUAUGGUGCUGCAUGCUUUCAGCAAGAUAAGAGAAGCAGGGAGUGAUGCUUUUAGUUUUAGGGUCCGACAGAUAUCCAGCUUCGCAUUGCCAGGCCUCUUGCUGAUUUUGAACACACUGCUUCUCCACUGCAGCUCUUGCCCUAGUGGCUGCAACUCUUCUUCGCAGGAAAUUGUUAAGAGACAUGGCUCGUGCUUUGAUCAGACUAGUAGCAUUUGGCAGGGGGGUCAAGAACCUGUCUGCUAUGGCUUGGAAGUGAAGGCACAGGAUCUUGGUAGAUCACAAGGCUUUUGGAAUAGACAUCUUCAGUUUCGUGCCAUAUCUGUCAGCGGUUCAAUCGUUUGCGAGAACCAUUAAUAAGGAAGGAGACGAUAUGGGAGCGAGAUAAAACAUCUCCAUGUGUCAACUCUCUCCCAAUUCUGGCGCAACAAUCUAAUCAAAGAGUACUAAUACUACUAGAGGUACAGCCCUCCACAGCAUUCAGACUUUUCAGAGGAAUGUAUAAACCCUAACACCAGAGGAUUCACCAAAGAUCAAUCCUGAUUAUUCCAGUCAAAUGUCGCAUACACAAAAUCCUCCUGAUUAAAGUUCUAAGCAAUUUGAUGAAUGAAUAAAGGAUCAAUCCUGAUUAUUCCAGUCAAAUGUCGCAUACCAAGUAACUAAGCAUCGACAACGAUAGCGAGCAUACAGAUUAAAA
Molecule: long non-coding RNA, 1435 nt
Organism: Brachypodium distachyon (stiff brome)
Lineage: Eukaryota; Viridiplantae; Streptophyta; Magnoliopsida; Poales; Poaceae
Exons: 2
Source: RefSeq, a predicted model, not a curated record